AUUGAACGCUGGCGGCAUGCCUUACACAUGCAAGUCGAACGGUAACGGGCCUUCGGGUGCCGACGAGUGGCGAACGGGUGAGUAAUACAUCGGAACGUGCCCGAUCGUGGGGGAUAACGAGGCGAAAGCUUUGCUAAUACCGCAUACGAUCUACGGAUGAAAGCAGGGGACCGCAAGGCCUUGCGCGGACGGAGCGGCCGAUGGCAGAUUAGGUAGUUGGUGGGAUAAAAGCUUACCAAGCCGACGAUCUGUAGCUGGUCUGAGAGGAUGGUCAGCCACACUGGGACUGAGACACGGCCCAGACUCCUACGGGAGGCAGCAGUGGGGAAUUUUGGACAAUGGGCGCAAGCCUGAUCCAGCCAUGCCGCGUGCAGGAUGAAGGCCUUCGGGUUGUAAACUGCUUUUGUACGGGACGAAAAGCCUUCUUUUAAUACAGGAGGGUCAUGACGGUACCGUAAGAAUAAGCACCGGCUAACUACGUG
RNAcentral lists this ribosomal RNA (482 nucleotides) under uncultured bacterium. Its description in RNAcentral is "partial 16S ribosomal RNA". It matches the Rfam family "Bacterial small subunit ribosomal RNA", at positions 30 to 507 of the family's 1533-position model. The record is from RNAcentral.